This 265-nucleotide long non-coding RNA is filed under the name Homo sapiens (human). Its description in RNAcentral is "long non-coding RNA NONHSAT217331.1". The record is from RNAcentral. Lineage: Eukaryota; Metazoa; Chordata; Mammalia; Primates; Hominidae.
AGGCCCGCCCCAGACCACACCGGCCAGUGUGGGGAAGGGCAGGAACCCCUGCUGCUUUUUAAGCCCCUGCGGGCGUUUGUGAUGCAAUAGGGAGUUAGAAAAGUACUCAAUAGUGAGUGUCGUUAUUCGGUUUGUCAAAAAUUAAAGGUGGGGAGGACAAAAAUCAGGAGAGAUUGAUUGCAUCUACUUUUCUACGGAAAUGUCUAACUCCGCUUCCAAAAAAAGCGGAAGUGAGUAUGCAACAUCUAAGAUUGAGACAUCAAAA